GGAACCAUUUUGUUACAACAAAGGAGGAUGUUGAAUGCAGGAAAACAGCCACUACUUCUACCAUCAUCAUCAUCAUCAUCAUCAUAUCAUCAAAGUCUUGCAACUUGUAUUUUUAUCCUCUCCAAUAAAGAGAACAGAGCAUCAAAACCUAUAUGGUGGAACAUUAAGAAUAACAUGUACAAAGGUCUGAAAGGAUUCAUCAUUGAGAAGAUAGUUCUAUUGGAAUUCUCCCGGUCAUUAAAAGAUGUCUUAAUUGUGUACAUUUAAUUCUGGAAAAAGUACAGACACUUCACUGAAGAAAAAUUGUGCAGCUUCUAAAAAUAAUCAUGUUUUAAAAUGGUCAAUAUGUGCAUAUACAUCGGCAGUCUCCCUCAUAUUAAAAUACUGACAAUGGAGCUGCUAUUGUGACUUCCCCAGGAAAGAGGAGAGUGAAUUAGAUGAUAACCAUGCGUUUAAAUUCAGUUGGGUAACAGAUACAGAGACUUCUAUCGUUAGAUAUUUCCAAUAGAAGAGGACCAGUCAAUAGCAUAAACAUAAAUAUAUUGGAGUUAUCUCUCUUUGCUUGUACAUCAAAAAUCAAAAAAUUGGGUACCCCCCCCCCCCGCCUUAUGAUAUCUAUACUAACAGGAGGGGCUUAUAAAUAAUCGGUGGUUGGCCCCAAGGACUGUACUCUAUCUGAUUAUUAAAUUUUAUUUUUGACUUGGAUAUUUACACGUUUGAAGGUAUAUCAAUAAAGUUA
Long non-coding RNA from Magallana angulata, 739 nucleotides. RefSeq lists it as uncharacterized. NCBI's taxonomy places the organism in Eukaryota, Metazoa, Mollusca, Bivalvia, Ostreida, Ostreidae. The record is from RefSeq and is a predicted model, not a curated record. The transcript has 2 exons.